UACAGAGGUCUCAAGCGUUGUUCGGAUCCACUGGGCGUAAAGGGUGCGCAGGCGGCCGAGUGUGUUAGAUGUGAAAUCCCGGGGCUCAACCCCGGAACUGCGUCUAAAACUACUUGGCUAGAGUAUUGGAGAGGGUAUCGGAAUUCACGGUGUAGCAGUGAAAUGCGUAGAUAUCGUGAGGAACACCAGAGGCGAAGGCGGAUACCUGGACAAUUACUGACGCUCAGGCACGAAAGCGUGGGGAGCAAAAGGG
This 253-nucleotide ribosomal RNA is filed under the name uncultured prokaryote. RNAcentral describes it as "partial 16S ribosomal RNA". It matches the Rfam family "Bacterial small subunit ribosomal RNA", at positions 524 to 776 of the family's 1533-position model. The record is from RNAcentral.